ACGCCUGAAUUUUUGUCUCAGCCA
This 24-nucleotide microRNA is filed under the name Capitella teleta. Its description in RNAcentral is "Cte-Mir-87-P2_5p* (star (passenger))". Lineage: Eukaryota; Metazoa; Annelida; Polychaeta; Capitellidae. The record is from RNAcentral.